UGCCAGUAGUCAUAUGCUUGUCUCAAAGAUUAAGCCAUGCAUGUCUAAGUUCACACUGUAGCACGGUGAAACCGCGAAUGGCUCAUUAAAUCAGUCGAGGUUUACUAGAUGAAAAGUAUCCUACUUGGAUAACUGUGGCAAUUCUAGAGCUAAUACAUGCAAUCAAGCUCCGACCCUCGCGGAAAGAGCGCUUUUAUUAGUUCAAAACCAAUCGCCGUUCGCCCUUCGCGGGGUGGCGGCGUCCCGAUUGGUGACUCUGGAUAACUUUGUGCUGAUCGCAUGGCCUUUGCGCCGGCGACGCAUCUUUCAAAUGUCUGCCCUAUCAAAUGUCGAUGGUACGUGAUAUGCCUACCAUGUUUGUAACGGGUAACGGGGAAUCAGGGUUCGAUUCCGGAGAGGGAGCAUGAGAAAGGGCUACCACAUCCAAGGAAGGCA
This 435-nucleotide ribosomal RNA is filed under the name Bulinus nyassanus. RNAcentral describes it as "SSU rRNA". It matches the Rfam family "Eukaryotic small subunit ribosomal RNA", at positions 15 to 427 of the family's 1831-position model. Lineage: Eukaryota; Metazoa; Mollusca; Gastropoda; Planorbidae. The record is from RNAcentral.